Mangifera indica (mango) is the source of this 1118-nucleotide long non-coding RNA. RefSeq lists it as uncharacterized. The transcript is spliced from 3 exons. The record is from RefSeq and is a predicted model, not a curated record. Lineage: Eukaryota; Viridiplantae; Streptophyta; Magnoliopsida; Sapindales; Anacardiaceae.
UGUUAGUUUAAACCGCUUAAUUUGUGACUUAGCGGCAAAGUUUUCUUUCUCACGAUAUAUAUGAUUAUUUGCUACUUCUCUUGCAGGUUCACUUAAAUCUGUCACAAUGCAUUCUUCUCUUCUUGCUGCAAUUCUUCUCUCCUCUCUCCUAAAGUCAGAAAACUCUACCACAAAGAUAAUGAAUCUAGCACCAAUGGCACCCCGAUGGGCGGUUCUGAUCGGUGGAUCGUAUGGUUACGAAAACUAUAGACAUUUGGCUGAUGUUUGCCAUGCAUAACAAAUGCUGAAGAGAGGAGGAUUAAAGGAUGAGAUAUUGCUUUUUCUGAAGAGAAUCCAAGGCCGGGAACUAUAAUCAAUAAACCAAAUGGCAUUGAUGUUUACCCCAAGGAUUAUACUGGUGAAAACGUUACUAUCGACAAUUUUCUGGCUGUUAUUCUUGGAAACAAACUGCUCUCACUGGGGGCAGUGGGAAGGUUGUCAUUCUUUUCCCAACUCUUUCUAAUUGCGAUUUGCGAAACAAGACUCAUUCUCUCAAAUGAACCCAACUUGGAUGGAGCUUUGGCUGCGGCAGAGAUUGGUUUUACGAUUAUAAUUGUCCUGAAAAACGGUUGUGGAAAUUUUCGGACGGUGACUGAUGCAGUAAACAACAUUCCAAUGCCGAAUACAAAUGGAGUGAUUAUUAAAAUCAGUGGAGGUUUUAAGGUUAUAACUGUAUUUGACACUCCUUUCUGUGUUCACCUUGUGAGUUGGGAUAAAACCCCCAUCGAUUUUAAUAAUCACUCCAUUUGUAUUUGACAUGGGAAUGCUGUUUACUGCAUCAGUCACUGUUCGAAAAUUUCCACUACCGUUUUUCAUGACAGUUAUAACCUUAAAACCAACCUCUGCCGCAGCCAAAGCUCCAUCCAAGUUGGGUUCAUUUGAGAGGAUUAGUCUUGAUUCGCAAAUCGCAAUUAGAAAGAGGUUGGAAAAGAAUAAAAUUUUUGUUAACAAGGUUGCAAAAAUGAGAAACUGUUUCAUUUCUUGAGCCAUUAUUGAAAGUCUUCUUGGUGAUACAAAGAAUGAAUUGUAAUUGGAGUUUUAAUAAUAAUAUAUUUCUCAAAGUGUUAAUUUGAAAACAA